AAUUACAAUAGAGUUUAAGUAUGAUAAUGUACAGUAUUGUGGGGAAGCGUUGAGGGGAAACUACUGUAACUUUGGGAGGUGAGGAAUGCUGAUAGAAGUACUAGAAGAUUAAUAGCAGAGGAGUGAAUAGAAGUUACCCAGAUCAAGAGACUUGAGUGGAAUUAACAGGUGCCUAGAUAUAGAGCCAGCUUGAUAAUUUUGGAGAACUGAAAAUAGUGCAGUAUAUCUGGCCCUCUCCUAAAUAGUAGUUCAGGAGAGAAGGAAGAGAUCAGACUGGAGGUAUGAGGGACCAAAAGCAUGAAGGGGCAUAUGAGUUAGUCCAAGGAAACUGGACUUGAAGGAAAAAAAAAAAAAAAGAAAUUGGACUUUACCUUGAGGAAAGUGAGAAGACACAUACAGAGCCAAAACAGAGGAGUCAAAUAAUCACUAUUGUGGUACAAAAUAGGGGACAUCAUAGAAUCGAGGUGUUGUUUUAUUUUAAGGAAAAUAUAAUGAUCUGAAUCAGUGCUGUGUCAUUGGUAAUUGGAGGAAAGUUUAUGUGGAAAAAUCAGGAUUAGAUGAUUAAGUGUAGGCUGGAGAGAAGAAGGGAGCAAGACAGAGAUGAAAAUGUUUAUUAUUUAUGUGCAUUUUAUCUUUAGAAGAUCUUAUAUUACAACAUGUUAAUAUUUGUUUUCUCAUUUUUGUAUAUUAGGAAAAUGUUCUUAAAUGUGAUGAUUUAAGAGAAAAAUGAACUGUUACGGAAAUGAAUAUUGAAGCACAUAUUUAAUGGGAUAUUUUCAAGGAAAUGUAAAAUGAUAAAAUUUUAAAACAAAAUCUGAAGUAAGCUUCACAUUAUAAUGUAAAACAACUUUAAUGUGCCAAUAUAUGCAUGCAACAUUUUUUAAUGUUCUAAAAGACACUAAACUGAAAUUUAUUCUCAGAGAUCCAUGGCUUAGCAAAGUGACACAAAAAAUUCAUAGGAAGUGUUCUUAUAAUUAACUAGAAACUUCCUUGCUUUGAGAAGAUAAUUUGAAAUAUAUGUUUUUAUACUUUGAUAUAAGAUAAUGCAAAAAAGUUCCUGAAUUUAACAACAACCAAAAAUAAAAAACCCUGGAAGAAUUUUUGAUAAGAAUCAUUUCACUUAACACUUAACUUGUUUUUUUUUUCUAUAUAUUGGGUUCCUGUGUGAUUUUUGUAUUAUCCUUUCCUUGGGUGUCCUAGCAUCCUGCAAAUAUUGGUAUACUAGGUUAAGUACUUCUAUGUAUAUAUUAAUACAAACAAUUGUUAUAAUAUCCAUUGUUUUUGGAAAAAGAACAUGUUGUAGCAUACAGCAGCUUUUAAAAUCCUUCUACUAGAGGGAGCACCUAUCAUUUCUGUUCAUAUUUCCUUGAGCAAAGUAAACCCUAAGGCCAAAUAGGGCAAACAAGUGUUAUCCUCAUGUACAUGCAAAAAGUAAAAGAACCAAAUACUUGUGAAGAGCUCAAAUUACUACUCAGAUCUGCCUUUCUGGUUAUGAUUAUAUUAAUAAUACCACUUGAUUUUAUGCUGAAAAUAUAACCUAAGAAAGAUCUACUUCUAAAAUACUAAAAAGAAAAUGAGUAAAGAUUCACUUAUGAAGUUGUACCACACCAUUAAUUUCAAAUAAUGAAAGUAUAAAGAACUCAAAAGGAGCUUGUUAUAACUUUCAAGUGCCUGAGUCAAUAAAUAAAAAAUGAAAUAAAUUCCCUUAUACAUAUAUAUGUGAACUAUGUAAAAGAACAAUUAAUCCUAUAAAUAAUUCAAAGCCUUUAUGUUAUUUAAUUAUCAUUUUGUAAUUAAAUGUUACAUAUUGUUAUAUGUACACAGAAUAAGAAGUAAACAGGACAGGAAAUUCAUGAUCUUAUGGACCUUAUAUUCUAGUAGAGAGCAGUCCAAAAAGAUAUAAUUAAAUAAUAAUAACAAAUAAAUAAAAUAUUAUAAGAAAGUGAUUAAUGCCAUGCAAUACAUAAAGCAGAGUUAGAGGAAAACUGGUAUCAGUAAAAUUCAUUCUAUAUUCAGAGAAUCUCCUGAAAACAUGAGAAGAUAACAGAAGUCUUAUCUUUACUUUUUUCACAUGUUCAUCAUUUUGAAACAAUUUCCAAACCAUGUUUGUAGGAAGUGAACUUAGUUCAGUCUAGGGGAAAGAAGGAAUCUAACUUUGAAUAAUCAAGUACAUUAGCUAAAAUGAAACAUUAUUAAUAACUUUUCUCACAUUCCCUUCCUUUGCCAUUUUAGUUAUUCUUAAAAACUAAAUGAGGUAAGUUAAAUGACCCCAAAAUUCCAUAGCUGCAUUCAUAACAUAAUCCUUACAUGUUCAGGAAUAAGAGAACAAAUCUGAGUUGGAAUAUAGUUUAACUCUACAUAUUUUGAAAAUAUAUUUUGACUGGUCAGUAUGUAAAGACCCAUUGGCAGUUUUCAAAUACAGAUCAUGUGCCUAAGAACAAAUUGCCAGCUAAGAGGACCAUUUGAGGUUCUAAGAGGCAUUGUGAGGACAAGAAGUCUUACUUUCGAAAGGGUUGAGUCUAAAAAUGCUUCAAUCUUAACUGUAUUUCCUUGCUUAUUUAAAUGAUUACUUCGAAUUUUGUAUUCCAAAGAUCACAGGUAACUUAAUUGGGAUAAAAUGAUCCUAAAUAGCUCCUCUGCAAAAAAAUGACCCAAGGUUAGAGUAUCAAGAUGCUAAGACACAAGUGACAAACAUUGCCCAAUGCAGUAAGCAUAAUACCAAGAAAUCAAGAACUAGCUAAUCCUCCACCUCAAGAUAGCUCUAUCUACUGCAGAUGCCUCUCUCUUUUUUUUUUUUUUUUGUUUUUGUUUUUGUUUGUUUGUUUGUUUGGUAAACUUUAGCUUCUGAAUUUCUGGAUGAGAUCUUAUGUACUCUGGAUUUUUAAGCUUAUAUUUUAUAAUAAGCACCAGGAAUAGUAAUGUUAAGAGCCAUAUUGAUUUUGUUACUAACAACUGGUUUGAUGAUACAUGUGGCUUUGUUAUGAUGAUAUGUAUGGAGGUUGUUUGUGGGACAUUAUAUAAAUUGUGGGACAUUAUAUCAAUAAUGUUGCUUGGAAUUCUACUUGUUGCCUUUAAAUUGGUACCACGUACUCUCCAGCUAAGGACUGAGAUGUGUCUCCCACUCUGAACUAAUAAGAAAACAGAAACAGCCCUAACAAUAUACUCAGGAAAAGUUUCUUACCUUGUAGAAGUUUUCUUUUUAUUUGGGAAGAAAUCCUGUCCACAAAUAAACAGCUAUUUCAGGCAGUGAAAAAAAAAAUGUUUUGAGGGUAAAACGUAGCAAGAUCAUGGAGUGAAGAGGGUUACUGGUACUAUAUGACAUAGUGUGGUCAGGGACCCUUUUCUUAAGAGUUGACAUUGAGUAGAGACAUGAAUGAAGUCAGAAAAUAUGAGCCAGAAAAUUACUCAUCUUAGAGAUAAAAGCAACACAUAAAUACAUCAGAAGAAAAUAAAUGCACUUGUAAACUAUAUAUUUUUAUAUUUAGUUUUGUGGGCAAUAUAUCUUCAAAUGUCUAUUGGAAAAAGAGAGUAGUUCAGUGACAAGAAAAAGGGGUGGACCAAAUUCAAAAUUUUUAGUGUGAAUCUGAUUAUUAAAAUAAUAAAACGGCCAACAGAAGAGGAUAGAACAUUUUUCUAAUUGGAAGUGUGAUUAUCAUCCAUAGUAUUAGGAUGAGAAGACUGAUAAGGCACUAAUUAUGCAGAAGAUGAAAAUGCACAGUCCACAACUGAUUUGCUAGAAAUUAAAACAAGCAAAGAAUGAAAUUUUGUUUGUAAUUAGGAUUGCUCAAUGAGAGACAGUUAGUAAUUAAUUUUUUGUGUUGGAUUGAGUUUUUAUUAGCUAUCUGUCAGUUAGUCUAAGUAAUGGCAGAACAUUUUGUCAGGAGGAACAAAAUACUUUUUUUCCUGAUCCAGAAAGUAAGACACAUCUUUCUACUGAGUAAUUGACUUGAUAAUGCUCAUAUAUUAAUUCAAUAAGUGCAAGUAUAGACUGGGAAUAUGACAGUGACUCAAAAAAAAAUCCUUAACUAUGUAAAUUUGCAUUAUAGAGGAUAAAUUAAUGCAUUGUCAGACAGUUAUAAAGAUCACUGAGUUCUGGCAAUAAAUUGAACUUUAUGUUUUGGAGUGCUUCAUUUUUUGUCACUAGCUGAUCAGUCAGAUUGCUAUUGAAAGCAACUGGCAAUAAACUGUAGUUUUCUAUAUUUUAGUACUAUUUUGUAUAACCAGAUAAUAACUUGAUAAAUUUUAAUGUUUCAUAAAUAUUACACACUCCUCCGUUUUGAUUUCCUUAUGUUUGCUUCUAUUUCCUAUUUGUGUGUGGUUUAGUGUGUGUAUGCAAAAUGACAUAAACUGUGUGACAUCAAUAAUUAAGUAUGAGAUAGUUUGCAUGUAACCUCAAAAGAAUAUAAAUAAAAGUAGAAUCAUAACUUGAAAUGUAAUGAGUACCUUUGCCAAGUGAAACAAAUGAGACAUGGUUUUGUGUUCAUGCAAACUUACUGCUUAGUAUUUUGAUAUAGAUUUCAAAAAGUCCCACAUGCUCAAAAACAGCUCUCCCAGUCUUGAGAUUGCACCACUGGGGAUUGCUUUGAACAUCUGAAAUCUUUUCUGUCAUUAUUAGUCUUCUUGCAUAAAGUAAAUACUCCAGGCAAGGUGAAAUCCUGGAUUUUUCAUCUCAGUUAAAGAUUUAGCAACUUAUCUCAGAAUAACUUACUAGAUAAUGGUCUUGUGAGAAUGAAAUGAGCUGAAGGAUAAUCAUCUAGGCUAGAGAAGGCUUCUGGGAGAUUAAAAUUUUUUUCCGAUUGUCUGUUUUACAUAGGGUUGUCCCUGCAUGUCCCAUUAAUUUUGUUUUAAUAGAGCUGUGACUUCUCCAUGCCUUCUCACAGCUGCAGAAAUUCACAUUUACUUCCAGUGGUUCUACAUAAUCUAAUCUGGUAACAGCAUUUCAGAGAUUGGGAUAUAGACUCCCAAGAAUGAAUGUGUGAAUUUUCUAAAAAGCAAGGAUAUUGAGACCCUGAAUUUAGAUGUAUUGAAGGAGGAUUCACUUGAGUCCAGAGUUUUUAGUCACAUUUCAUGUCACAAACUUAUGGAUUUUUAAAAAUAAUUAUAUAUGCUAUUUAUUAUGCCUAAUUCUUUAAAAGAAACCUUGCUUAUAUGAACACUGGGAACAUAUUAACUUGUGUAUUAGAGACAUUAUCUUUAAUGAGAUUUGGUAAAAAUAAAGGACACGGGUAUGAAUUGUCUCACGUAUUCUUAAAAUGUUUGAAUACUCAAUAAUACUUCUGUUUUGGGCCGUUCAUCUGACAAUUGUAUUAGGCUCAAAAAAGUACUUAGCCUCACUGACAUGUGCUAUAUGUCUUUUUUAAAAUGGAUUAAAAUGUUUAAAAUUAGCACUUUUAUUAUUAAUGGCAGCAUUAAUAAUGGCAGUGCAGUGAUUUAUAGUAAAAUGUUCAAAGUAAAUCUGAAAUAUAUAAAUUUUUAAGAAUUUUUUCUUUUUUCAGCAAAUGUAUAUUUUGAAAUAUAUAUAUUGAAAUAUAUUUAGACUGACAAUAAGUUCAAGUGGGUUUUGUUGGAAGAUACAGUAAUUAUAUUGGCUAUCUAACAUGGCGGCUCUAUGAUGGAAGUCAGGAAGGGAAAUGAAAUAUUUUCUUUGACUGGAAACAGAAUAAAGUUCUCCCAAGUCAAGUACAGAAUUGGACAUUUUGGUCAAGAUUAGAAAAUAAAACUUUUGAAACAUUGAAAAAAUUACCUUUAGGUAUUAAAAAGUCAAAGCAUAUAAUGAACCAUCAAUUUUAUCUGUAAAAGCCACACUAGACUACCUCUACCUUAACACUACAAUUAAAAGAAUCUACUUCUUGACAUUUUAAAGAAAACAUAAUUUCAUUUUGUGGUGAAAUCUAUUACAAGGUGGAAAUUAGAUUGUACAACCAAAAAAAGAAACACUGAUUAAUAUGUGUAUUUAACUAGAUCUCUGGAAGCCUAGUGCCUUAGAAUUCGCUGAAGAUGAAAAAUUGCCAUACAAAGUAGUGUAAAUCUUGAGAAAAAUGCAUGUUUUCUUAACCAUAAAAUGCUAGAUAGCAUUACUUUGAACGGUUGUGGGUUCGAACCCUGGCCUCGCUCAGUGGGUUAAGGAUCCAGCAUUGCCUUUAUAUCACAGAUGCGGCUCAGAUCUGGCGUUGUUGCGACUGUGGUGUAGGCCAGCAGCUGGAGCGCCGAUUAGACCCUUAGCCUGGGAACCUCCAUGUGCCAUGAGUGCAG
RNAcentral lists this long non-coding RNA (6252 nucleotides) under Sus scrofa (pig). RNAcentral describes it as "lncRNA (ENSSSCG00055021416.1)". Lineage: Eukaryota; Metazoa; Chordata; Mammalia; Artiodactyla; Suidae. The record is from RNAcentral.